RNAcentral lists this unclassified non-coding RNA (260 nucleotides) under plant metagenome. RNAcentral describes it as "partial contains small subunit ribosomal RNA, internal transcribed spacer 1, and 5.8S ribosomal RNA". The record is from RNAcentral.
UUUCCGUAGGUGAACCUGCGGAAGGAUCAUUACCGAAUUGUCAAACGGGUUGUUGCUGGUCUUCAAACGGGGACAUGUGCACGCUCUGUUUACACAUCCACUCACACCUGUGCACCCUCCGUAGUUCUAUGGUCUGGGGGACCCCGUCUUCCUGGCGUGGUUCUACGUCUUUACACACACUCUGUAAUAAAGUCUUAUGGAAUGUAUGCCGCGUCUAACGCAAUACAAUACAACUUUCAGCAACGGAUCUCUUGGCUCUC